Molecule: ribosomal RNA, 468 nt
Filed under: uncultured bacterium
Lineage: Bacteria
Description: partial 16S ribosomal RNA
Rfam family: Bacterial small subunit ribosomal RNA
Source: RNAcentral
GACGAACGCUGGCGGCGUGCUUAACACAUGCAAGUCGAACGAAAAGGCCCUGCUUUUGUGGGGUGCUCGAGUGGCGAGCGGGGGAGAAUCACGUGAGUAAAAUGCCCUUUACUUUGGGGUAACUUCAGGAAAAAGGGGCUAAUAUCGGGUAUGAUAUCCUGCUGCAUGGGGGGGGUUGGUAAGUUUCGGUGGUUGGGGAUGGACUUGAGGCUUAUCAGCUUGUUGGGGGGGUAGUGGCUUACAAGGGCUUUGAAGGGUAGCCGGCCUGGGAGGGUGACCGGCCACAAUGGGACUGAGAUACGGCCCAGACUCAUACGUGAGGCAGAAGUGGGGAACAUUGCACAAUGGGCGGAAGCCUGAUGCAGAAACGCCGGGUGCGGGAUGACGGCUUUUGGGUUGUAAACCGAUUUCGCAUGUGACGAAGCGUGAGUGACGGUAAUGGGUAAAGAAGCACCGGCUAACUACGUG